ACGAGGUGAAAAGUUAACCUAAUCAUUUUUAGUCUUUUUAAGUAUCCAAACAACAUUACUGAGGGGUUAAAAAUUACAAGGAUAACAAUUAGUCCUCGUUAACCUCAUACCAAACGCCCUUAAAGUUCAUGAAGCAUUAAAAUAUAGACACUGCAGGUACUGUCGGAAGACAACCUGCAUGAUCUCAUUCAACACCAAUCUGAUACAUCGUAUGUGUGUUGCUAUCACUUCACAGCAAUAAUUCUACAUUUGUUUUAAAUUUCCAGUAAUUGGUGGUAGGGUACUGGCUGGUAGCCAAAGUAGGGCAUUCAAACAAUUUGUUUGCAUCUGGUCUUUCAAACAACUGCCGUUGG
Molecule: unclassified non-coding RNA, 353 nt
Filed under: Hevea brasiliensis (rubber tree)
Lineage: Eukaryota; Viridiplantae; Streptophyta; Magnoliopsida; Malpighiales; Euphorbiaceae
Source: RNAcentral